RNAcentral lists this ribosomal RNA (468 nucleotides) under uncultured bacterium. RNAcentral's name for it is "partial 16S ribosomal RNA". It matches the Rfam family "Bacterial small subunit ribosomal RNA", at positions 28 to 507 of the family's 1533-position model. The record is from RNAcentral.
GACGAACGCUGGCGGCGUGCUUAACACAUGCAAGUCGAACGGACAGGCCCUGAUCUUGUGGGGUGCCCGAGUGGCGAACAGGUGCGUAUCACGUGAGUAACCUGCCCUUGACUUUGGGAUAACUUCAGGAAACUGGGGCUAAUACCGGAUAGGAGCUCCUGCAGCAUGGUGGGGGUUGGAAAGUUUCGGCGGUUGGGGCUGGACUUGAGGAUUAUCAGCUUGUUGGUGGGGUAGUGGCUUACCAAGGGUUAGACGGGUAGCCGGCAUGAGAGGGUGAACGGCCACAUUCAGGCUUCGAUAGGGCCCAGACGCCUACCGGAGGCAGCAGUGGCGAAUAUUGCAGAGUGAGCGGAAGACGGAUACAACAACCCCGCGAGCGGGAAGCCGGCCUGCGUGGGGUAAACCAAUUUCUCCUGUUACGAAGCUGGAGUGACGGUAAUUGAUAAAGAAGCACCGGCUAACUACGUG